RNAcentral lists this ribosomal RNA (476 nucleotides) under Actinomyces sp. oral taxon 169. RNAcentral's name for it is "bacterial SSU rRNA". It matches the Rfam family "Bacterial small subunit ribosomal RNA", at positions 28 to 494 of the family's 1533-position model. The record is from RNAcentral. Lineage: Bacteria; Bacillati; Actinomycetota; Actinomycetes; Actinomycetales; Actinomycetaceae.
GACGAACGCUGGCGGCGUGCUUAACACAUGCAAGUCGAACGGUGAAGGGACCAGCUUGCUGGUUCUGGAUGAGUGGCGAACGGGUGAGUAACACGUGAGUAACCUGCCCCCUUCUUCUGGAUAACCGCAUGAAAGUGUGGCUAAUACGGGAUAUUCUGGGUCUGUCGCAUGACGGGCCCGGGAAAGAUAUUGCUUCGGUGGGGGAUGGGCUCGCGGCCUAUCAGCUUGUUGGUGGGGUGAUGGCCUACCAAGGCGGUGACGGGUAGCCGGCCUGAGAGGGUGGACGGUCACACUGGGACUGAGACACGGCCCAGACUCCUACGGGAGGCAGCAGUGGGGAAUAUUGCACAAUGGGCGCAAGCCUGAUGCAGCGACGCCGCGUGAGGGAUGGAGGCCUUCGGGUUGUAAACCUCUUUCGCCAGUGAAGCAGGCCUGCUCCUUGUGGGUGGGUUGACGGUAGCUGGAUAAGAAGCGCC